AGCUUUGCGCAGUGGCAGUAUCGUAGCCAAUGAGGUUUAUCCGAGGCGCGAUUAUUGCUAAUAGAAUUUGGUUCAGAAACCCCAGGGUAGACUGGAACACAACUUCUGAUUUCAGUAAAUAUUC
This 124-nucleotide small nuclear RNA is filed under the name Neogale vison (American mink). RNAcentral describes it as "Neovison vison (American mink) U4 spliceosomal RNA (ENSNVIG00000008001.1)". It matches the Rfam family "U4 spliceosomal RNA". From Rfam's summary of the family: U4 small nuclear RNA (U4 snRNA) is a component of the major U2-dependent spliceosome. The structure of U4 snRNA from yeast and human has been reported. U4 snRNA presents a k-turn RNA motif in the 5p-SL related to recognition of Snu13 protein. The record is from RNAcentral. Lineage: Eukaryota; Metazoa; Chordata; Mammalia; Carnivora; Mustelidae.